This is a long non-coding RNA of Homo sapiens (human), 1095 nucleotides long. Ensembl annotates it as long intergenic non-protein coding RNA 1592. NCBI's taxonomy places the organism in Eukaryota, Metazoa, Chordata, Mammalia, Primates, Hominidae. The record is from Ensembl.
AGGGAUGUGAGUGCAUAAAGAAAAGGCCACGUGAGGACACAGCAAGAAAGUGGUCAUCUGCAAGCGCAAAAGACAGGCCUCAGAAGAACCCAACCCUAUUGACACUAUGAUCUUGGACAUCCAGCCUCCAGAACUCCGUUAACAAACCAUCUGUAUGCCUAAUAUUGAUGCUGUCUUUCCCUAGUGUACUGGACAACCUAAGACAGGGAAAUAAAGAUAAAGUUUGGAUUGAAGAGUGAGUUUCAGGUAUAAAGAAAUUUGUAAUAGAAUUUUUCCUUCAAAAAGAAAAGCUGGAUUUUGCAAGGCCUAUAAGAGGCUGUCAGUUACCACCUAAGGAGCCAAAAUAAUGCAGCUUCACAUCUCCUUAAUGGACAGAAGACUACACUGUUUUUGCUGCACCCAGAGAUAAAAUUAUUGGUUUUGGAGUACCUUCACUGAUGCCAGGGGUGUCAUCUUUACCUUCCAUCACAUAAUAUAUAUAAAGAGAAUUUUUCUUAGCUUUAAAUGAGUUGAUAAGAGGACAAGAAGAAAGUCAAGGACUCCAUUUCCAGGAUUAAAAGCGGUUUUUUCCUUUGUCUUCCAAAUCCUAGCAGUAGAAGCAUUUGAGUUCUGCAGAAAUUACUGAAGUGGUUCAAGUGUGGGCAGUCAGGACACUCAGCCCACCAUACUCAACCCCAACUCAACCUCAACUCUCAGUACGGCAGAGAGACGGAGAACUCAGAGCUAUAACUUUCAGGAAUUCUCAAAACCUCAGACAAAAUGCAUCUUUGUUUUACCACCUGUUAAAGUAUAUCCUCAUCUGCCUCAGUGCACAUAAGUAUACAACACUGCAGAUUGUGUUUAACUUCAUUUGCAAUUAAUUUAACGCAUUUUGUAUCCAACAUUUCUACUAGGAAAUAGUAUUAGUCUAUCCCCAAACUAAAAUUCACUGCAAAAAUGUAAUUCACUCAAGAAAAAUAAUGAUAAUUCUUCAAACACCUUGAGAUGUCAUUCAACAAUCAUACCCAAUGGGUAAAAUUUAGAGUUCAACAUUUAGCUUGCAUUUCUUUCUAACCAAACAUCUCAAGUUCAAAAAAUAAAGCAGAUUGUUUUGUG